Long non-coding RNA from Mya arenaria, 1562 nucleotides. RefSeq lists it as uncharacterized. Lineage: Eukaryota; Metazoa; Mollusca; Bivalvia; Myida; Myidae. The record is from RefSeq and is a predicted model, not a curated record. The transcript is spliced from 4 exons.
CUCAUAUAGUGUCGUUACGUUUCUUUUAAUAUUUUUAAGUGUUGUUGAUUUUCACAUAUUUACCUUCAUGAAACUGUGUGGAUAAAAUGGAACUACACGACUCAGACCUGUAUUCGGAUAUGUUAUUUCUGGAUAAACACAAGACACAUCACGUUCUAAAAUCGGAUUCUGUCCCGGAUGUCGACCCGGAACAACAUUUUGAAGUGUUUAUACCAAAGAGUUUCAGAGUGAUUCGAACAGAGGCAUUGGAAUGCUACAAAUGAUCAGUUAGGCGGCCAUGAAUCCAUCACGCGUCACACGGCUCCAGAUCCCCUCCACUGAUUAUCAUUUACUGCUCGGUCUUCAGAAACACUCGGGUGUUGUCCAACUGGGCUAACCCCAGUGACAGGGAGUCUAACAAGCCCGUCCUGUUCAACCGGUUUCUCGGCACCAUCAUAAAAUCACAGUUUUUGUGUAAAAGACGUAUAAUAAAGAUGUGUCUGAGCGCCUCAGCCUGUCAAGCAGACUAAAGUUACGGAGUACACAGCGCGAUACAUCAACGUUAGCCCUUGCCCCGUCAGGUAUACAUCAUAUCAGAACCAGGCGUUCGGAACGUCGUCGCCCUGUGUUAUGACGGCGUAACGUUACAGAAUAUGACAAGAAGAUGUGAAAAGGCGUUACAAAUUAUGAUUUACAUGUUUAUGAGUGUUCUACUUUAGGAAGCGAUAUAUCUACUCUAAACAGUAGCCGUUUAUAUUGAAAUACAAUAUGGUUGGUGUGAAUUUGUGUUUAAAUGAAGAUUACAGUUGUGGUCACGGAGACAACGCAGACAAGACAAAUUUUGAUGAAUCAGUUAAAAAAAGUAGACGCAAUGAGAAUGAAACAAAUGUUUCGUGUAUGAUAAGUAAAUGCAGUUAACUUCAUUAAAGUAUUGUCAGAUGGCAAUCCUCUUCUAAUGUCCUUUCCCAGAAUGAUACAAAUCAAAUUGACCUACCUGGACAGUCAAUAUUGAAAUCAUACGCGCCAUAUGGAACCAAUUUAAGUGAAAUGAAACAAGAGGGCAGGUUGAUAAACAAACUAUGAUUGUUAUUUUCUUACCAGAAAACAAAAAACGCUUCAUGCGGCUUAUCAUAAACUACAAGUUGGUGCUGUGGCCAUUGACCAUGUUACCAUGUGAGGAAAACGUUUGCUUAUAUUCAUUAUAUUCUGCGUACUGUAUUGUGCACUAUGGUGAAGCUAUAUGUUACUAAUAUAAAGUCAAGUACAGGACAAGCCCAGUAGCCAAAUGUGAUAAUAAAGACCAAGGCAUAUCUCAUAUAUCUCAAACAACAAAGACCAUACAUGCAUCGACAUAUCUGAUGAUUUGUGUAAUAGAGUUGAAAGCGAUGCAGGAGCUUACUAGGGAUUUAAAAAAGUUUAUGGACAGUUGCCAAACAUUAUAUCAAUGCUCGUAAAAUUAAAAUUAACUUCUCAAACGGAGCCAGCAUAAACUUGAGGACACUGCAAUAUAAAGAAAAGCUAAUCCUACUAACAGAAACGCUCAACGAACAGAUUUAUUGAGACAUCACCUGCACAGAAGUGAA